RNAcentral lists this ribosomal RNA (496 nucleotides) under uncultured Flavobacterium sp. Its description in RNAcentral is "bacterial SSU rRNA". It matches the Rfam family "Bacterial small subunit ribosomal RNA", at positions 9 to 506 of the family's 1533-position model. Lineage: Bacteria; Pseudomonadati; Bacteroidota; Flavobacteriia; Flavobacteriales; Flavobacteriaceae. The record is from RNAcentral.
GAGUUUGAUCGUGGCUCAGGAUGAACGCUAGCGGCAGGCCUAACACAUGCAAGUCGAGGGGUAGAACACUUCGGUGCUUGAGACCGGCGCACGGGUGCGUAACGCGUAUGCAAUCUGCCUUGUACUAAGGGAUAGCCCAGAGAAAUUUGGAUUAAUACCUUAUAGUAUAUAGAUGUGGCAUCACAUUUAUAUUAAAGAUUUAUCGGUACAAGAUGAGCAUGCGUCCCAUUAGCUAGUUGGUAUGGUAACGGCAUACCAAGGCAAUGAUGGGUAGGGGUCCUGAGAGGGAGAUCCCCCACACUGGUACUGAGACACGGACCAGACUCCUACGGGAGGCAGCAGUGAGGAAUAUUGGUCAAUGGGCGCAAGCCUGAACCAGCCAUGCCGCGUGCAGGAUGAAGCAUCUAUGGUGUGUAAACUGCUUUUGUACGGGAAGAAACAGCUCUUCGUGAAGAGCCUUGACGGUACCGUAAGAAUAAGGAUCGGCUAACUCCGU